This 45-nucleotide transfer RNA is filed under the name Microtus mexicanus hualpaiensis. RNAcentral describes it as "partial tRNA-Phe". Lineage: Eukaryota; Metazoa; Chordata; Mammalia; Rodentia; Cricetidae. The record is from RNAcentral.
CCCUCACAAGUUAAUGUAGCUUAUUAAAAGCAAAGCACUGAAAAU